RNAcentral lists this unclassified non-coding RNA (205 nucleotides) under Hevea brasiliensis (rubber tree). The record is from RNAcentral. Lineage: Eukaryota; Viridiplantae; Streptophyta; Magnoliopsida; Malpighiales; Euphorbiaceae.
GGAAUAUUUGCCAAAACGGUGCGUAACACCAAAGCUACAACAGCAGCAAAUAGAAAAGAAGCAAAACAGUGCAUGUGGCAUAUUAAUGAAACGGUGCGAUUCAAGCCAAAGUCAGAAAAGUCGUCACAUCUGUAACAAAGAGAAUUAAAGCUGUUAUAACUAAUUCUAUUUAUUUUGCCUAAAUGGACAUUCAGUUUUAACUAAC